UUCCCCGUGGAGAAAAUAAAUUAGGAUUUUUAUUUUGACUGCUGCUCUCUAUAACAGGUAGUUGUUUAGCAACAAAUAACCAAUCAUAACCCUGAAUAGCGCCUGCUUCAUUAAAUAUUUGUGAGUUUAGUACAGUCACAGAAACUCUUGCAUUGUAUUUAAUUUCAACGUUUGAGGGGAAAAUACAUAGUUCAAACAGAAAUUAAUGGAAAAUGCAUUGAUAGCAUUGCAGAAUUGACCAAAUUAUUCUUACAAAAAGCCUAUUCCGGACAGAGUGGAUGGUACAUUGAGGAACGAGACGAGUCGAUAUUUAAACGAAGCGCGCAGGCUGUGUUCCUCCAAUCAAUAUCGACAAAUAUCCAAAAAAGAAUGUUAACCCAGAGUUUAAUGGGUUAACAAUUUUAAGUGCAAAAAGUCAUACUGUAUCAGCUGUCCGUUUUUUCCCUUCAUUUUUUUCUCUUUUUUUUUUUCUAAACAAAAAUUACUCCAAAGGCCUAAUAUAUGGUUAGAUGAACGGACUCUAAACAUCAUCAAAACUAGUUUGAUUUUGGAACCUUUAAUACAUUUCUUAAACUGAAAAACAAAUGUAAAUGUAAUGUAGAUGACCUUUAAAACAGAUAAAAAUGCAUAGCUAAAAUAUUCAACAGAUCGCAAGAUCUGGAGAGCGUUGACGAAUUGGCUCUGAAAAUAGAGCCUCUAAUGUAUUAUACAGGUGAAGGAGGUGGGAAUGACAUGAGAGAAUGUCCAGAUGGAAAAUAGAAAUGCUAAUAUAGCCUAUCACGAGCAAAGAAAUGCAAAAUGGAGUGAACAGAUGUUUCACUCCGAGAGGUAUGAAGGGCUCUAAACAGGCGGACACACAAAACUAUUAUGUUCCUGGAGCAUAGAUACAAUAUGUCCGACAAAAUGUAACGAAAGAUUCAACAGUCUUGAAAAAGCAGGCUUGAAAAGGCAAAACAAUGCAUGCUAGUAUUAUCGUAGCACAAGGAAAAGCAUAGGUGAAUAUUUGAAUAUGAUGGCUAUCAUGUAAUUUACCA
This 1034-nucleotide long non-coding RNA is filed under the name Sinocyclocheilus anshuiensis. RNAcentral's name for it is "lncRNA (ENSSANG00000028997.1)". The record is from RNAcentral. Lineage: Eukaryota; Metazoa; Chordata; Actinopteri; Cypriniformes; Cyprinidae.